UGAUGCAGCGACGCCGCGUGGAGGAUGAAGGCUUUCGGGUCGUAAACUCCUGUCUGGGGGGAUGAAUACUGACAGUACCCCCGGAGGAAGCCCCGGCUAACUACGUGCCAGCAGCCGCGGUAA
This 123-nucleotide ribosomal RNA is filed under the name uncultured bacterium. RNAcentral's name for it is "partial 16S ribosomal RNA". It matches the Rfam family "Bacterial small subunit ribosomal RNA", at positions 384 to 523 of the family's 1533-position model. The record is from RNAcentral.